Cryptomeria japonica (Japanese cedar) is the source of this 125-nucleotide small nucleolar RNA. RefSeq annotates it as small nucleolar RNA snoR111. Lineage: Eukaryota; Viridiplantae; Streptophyta; Pinopsida; Cupressales; Cupressaceae. The record is from RefSeq and is a predicted model, not a curated record. The transcript has a single exon.
CUUGGAGGAAGUCUGCAAACUUCAUAAUGCGAUUUUUCCUUUAUACAACAGAGUACAUUGAAGUCGAGAUAUCGUUUCGGUUGCCCCGCGUAAGCAUGGGCGAUUCGAUUGUUGCUUGACAACAU